UGCGGAGAGUUUGAUCCUGGCUCAGGAUGAACGCUGGCGGCGUGCUUAAUACAUGCAAGUCGAACGGAGACAAUAGCAAUAUUGUUUUAGUGGCGAACGGGUGAGUAACGCGUUGGUGACCUGCCCCGAAGAGAGGGAUAACAGUUCGAAAGGAUUGCUAAUACCCCAUGUGGUCAUUUGGAUUAGAUGCCUUAUGACUAAACGGAUUUAUUCGCUUCGGGAGGGGCCUGCGUCCCAUCAGCUAGUUGGUAGGGUAAUGGCCUACCAAGGCG
Molecule: ribosomal RNA, 272 nt
Filed under: Anaerolinea sp.
Lineage: Bacteria; Bacillati; Chloroflexota; Anaerolineae; Anaerolineales; Anaerolineaceae
Description: partial 16S ribosomal RNA
Rfam family: Bacterial small subunit ribosomal RNA
Source: RNAcentral